AAGUCGUAACAAGGUAACCGUAGGUGAACCUGCGGUUGGAUCAUUAACAAAUGACAUUUGCAACAGGGAACAAGGCUUCGGCCCUUUCCUGCGUCUCACGAAAGUGAGUACGGCAAACCUUUUGUGAAUCGUAAACAGUCUCUGGCGGAAGGACGUUUGCAAACAUGUCCAAUUCAUUUUGGAGAUGUGCGCCUACGUCUGUCAGCAGCUGGGAAUCUCCCGGAUGCCGUGGACAAGCCGCCAAACAUUGUAUAAACCAACCUAUAUACUAUAUUUCCAGUCUGACCAUUUUUCAAAAACGUUUUUGUAACAUUGCAAAAUACGAUGAAAAAAACAACUUUUGGCAACGGAUCUCUUGGCUCUC
This 364-nucleotide unclassified non-coding RNA is filed under the name fungal sp. RNAcentral's name for it is "partial internal transcribed spacer region". The stretch from base 1 to 46 matches the Rfam family "Eukaryotic small subunit ribosomal RNA", at positions 1786 to 1831 of the family's 1831-position model. Lineage: Eukaryota; Fungi. The record is from RNAcentral.